This is a long non-coding RNA of Corvus hawaiiensis (hawaiian crow), 554 nucleotides long. RefSeq lists it as uncharacterized. The record is from RefSeq and is a predicted model, not a curated record. The transcript is spliced from 7 exons. NCBI's taxonomy places the organism in Eukaryota, Metazoa, Chordata, Aves, Passeriformes, Corvidae.
UAAUUUCUGGCUGGUCUGUAGUGCAGAGCUUAAAUUGGGGAUAGUGCUCUUGACAAUGCAAGCAUCUGGAGUUCUUUUUAUCAAGUCAGAGAUUGAAGACUGCUUGUAGGAAGACAUAACUACUUAGCUGCAGGUUUACCCUCAGCUGUUUCCUCUAUCAUAUGCAGGAUGCUAAAGGAGCGCUUGGUCAGUCUUACAGCAGUCUGUCUGGUUAUCACACCUGCUCAUUGUGGGGGAGUUCUUUCAUGCUCAUAGAUGUACAAGUCAAAAUUCAAAGAGACUGGAUCAAGUGCUGGCAGGUUCUGUGUCCUUGUCUGAAGAGCCACACUGCCCCCCUCAAAGACUCAUCACCCAAGGAAACAUGCAGUACCUAAGUGCCUUCCAGCAAAGAUCAUCUGCUAGGACCAUCUGGAUGUCAUGAGUUCAAUGAAUUUCCUCUGUUAAAGCUGCUUGAAGUGCUGAGAUGGACUUCCUAGUGUGGAAUGCUGCGUGAAACCUGCUGUUGAGAUCUUGGAUCACAGUAUGGUUUUGAGUAACUUCUCUGAGCAGCCCAU